Molecule: long non-coding RNA, 638 nt
Filed under: Olea europaea (common olive)
Lineage: Eukaryota; Viridiplantae; Streptophyta; Magnoliopsida; Lamiales; Oleaceae
Description: long non-coding RNA (OEUR_LNC003677)
Source: RNAcentral
CUCUUACACUCACUUUCUAAAUGUCCAACACUUAGAAUAAAUAGGCCAAAAUUCAUAUUACAGUUAACUGACACCUCCAACUACCAGGUCAGUUUUUCUAGAUUUCCAACCUUUUCAUGUUAGAAACUGCCCACAACUAACCCUCAAUCAAGCCUACAGCAAAGAGCACUCAUAACUGCCACGAUGUACCUUCCAUAUGGCCUAAUUUUCACUAAAUUUGAGUACUAAAAUCAGCUGGACAAGAAGUUUGAAUUUCUGUUGAACAAAAAUCACCAAUCCAUCAAUAAAACGCCAAUCUGACUUGUAUCUUCGAAUUUUGCCUCGUGAUACCACCAUUAAGUAAAUAAGGCAUCUGUGCCUCGAUCAUUUUCUCAUCACAAAACCCGCAUGCCUUCGACCAUGACAUGACAAUAACAAGACAGCAUUUGUGCCAUAUCCAUUUUUUUCUGAUAGAUGCAAAAGCAAACACACGUUGAUUAACAUGGAUCCAUUGAAUAACAGCUCCACAAAGCUAGCCUCCUACAAAAAGACAGUUUCUCGUUGAUCCGAAAAAGAAACAAAAUAUUAAUCAUCACUUUCUUCUCCUUAAUCAUUCUAUUAGCACUAAUAAUAGGCACCAUAAUCACAUCUCUUAUACG